UGGGGAAUAUUGGACAAUGGGGGGAACCCUGAUCCAGCCAUGCCGCGUGUGUGAAGAAGGCCUUAUGUUUGUAAAGCACUUUAAGCGAGGAGGAGGGUACUGGUAUUAAUACUACCAGGUACUGGACGUUACUCGCAGAAUAAGCACCGGCUAACUCUGUGCCAGCAGCCGCGGUAAUACAGAGGGUGCGAGCGUUAAUCGGAUUUACUGGGCGUAAAGCGUGCGUAGGCGGCUAAUUGAGUCGGAUGUGAAAUCCCCGAGCUUAACUUGGGAAUUGCAUUCGAUACUGGUUAGCUAGAGUGUGGGAGAGGAUGGUAGAAUUCCAGGUGUAGCGGUGAAAUGCGUAGAGAUCUGGAGGAAUACCGAUGGCGAAGGCAGCCAUCUGGCCUAACACUGACGCUGAGGUACGAAAGCAUGGGGAGCAAACAGG
This 430-nucleotide ribosomal RNA is filed under the name Pseudomonadota bacterium. RNAcentral's name for it is "Proteobacteria bacterium partial 16S ribosomal RNA". It matches the Rfam family "Bacterial small subunit ribosomal RNA", at positions 355 to 776 of the family's 1533-position model. The record is from RNAcentral. Lineage: Bacteria; Pseudomonadati; Pseudomonadota.